GGACCACGAGCCAGGAACAGAUUUCAACACCAAUCGCCUCCCGGGUGAUAACUCGUAUAGUGGUUAACGGCUAUGUAUGAUGAACUCUCAUGGACGUCAGCUGCCGCUCCGUUGGUGGGUUGAGGAAUGGCAGUCACCGAAACAUUCAUCGCCUCCCGCUUGAUACUUUGUCAGAUGAUAGUUUAGAUGCUAUCGUGAAUUAAAAAAAUAGUCAGCCGGUUGUAUCGCGGUGGAAAGACCGUCAGUUGAUCACAUGAAAAUGUAA
Long non-coding RNA from Cydia splendana, 265 nucleotides. RefSeq lists it as uncharacterized. The record is from RefSeq and is a predicted model, not a curated record. Lineage: Eukaryota; Metazoa; Arthropoda; Insecta; Lepidoptera; Tortricidae. The transcript has 2 exons.